This 292-nucleotide ribosomal RNA is filed under the name uncultured bacterium. RNAcentral describes it as "partial 16S ribosomal RNA". It matches the Rfam family "Bacterial small subunit ribosomal RNA", at positions 775 to 1067 of the family's 1533-position model. The record is from RNAcentral.
GGAUUAGAUACCCUGGUAGUCCACGCCGUAAACGAUGAUCACUCGAUGUUGGCGACAUACUGUCAGUGUCUGAGCGAAAGCAUUAAGUGAUCCACCUGGGGAGUACGAUCGCAAGAUUGAAACUCAAAGGAAUUGACGGGGGCCCGCACAAGCGGUGGAGCAUGUGGUUUAAUUCGAAGCAACGCGCAGAACCUUACCAUCCCUUGACUUCCCUGUCGCGGGCUCAGAGAUGAGCCUUUCAGUUCGGCUGGACAGGUGACAGGUGCUGCAUGGCUGUCGUCAGCUCGUGCCG